Notechis scutatus (mainland tiger snake) is the source of this 454-nucleotide non-coding RNA. The record is from RefSeq and is a predicted model, not a curated record. NCBI's taxonomy places the organism in Eukaryota, Metazoa, Chordata, Lepidosauria, Squamata, Elapidae.
UUUUUAAAGGAUACUCUUGGGAGACCACCUGCAACAGAAGUUCCACUAGUAGACCAUUGUAAAUUCAAAUACCUCUUCAAUUUUCGAGGAGUUGCAGCCAGUUUUCGUUUCAAACACCUUUUCCUGUGUGGUUCUUUGAUCUUUCAUGUUGGAGAAGAUUGGCAAGAAUUCUUCUAUCCACAACUGAAACCUUGGGUUCACUAUAUCCCAGUUCAAUCUGAUCUUUCUAAUGUGAGAGAGCUAUUGGAAUUUGUAAGUGAAAAUGAUGAUGUUGCUCAAAAAAUUUCUGAGAGGUAAGCUCUUAUUACUGCUAUGCUUUAAUUGUAGGGAUUCCUUGGUAUAAAAUAGAUUUGAUAAUGAAGUCCAUAAGACUUUCCCAAGAUUAUAAUGGUAAUAUAAAAGUUAUGAUAGUACUGGAGAAAGGGACUUAUGCUCAAUCCCCAAACUUAUGGCC